GACGAACGCUGGCGGCGUGCUUAACACAUGCAAGUCGUACGGUAAGGCCCUUUCGGGGGUACACGAGUGGCGAACGGGUGAGUAACACGUGAGUAACCUGCCCACAACUUUGGGAUAACGCUAGGAAACUGGUGCUAAUACUGGAUAUGUGCUCCUGCUGCAUGGUGGGGGUUGGAAAGCUCCGGCGGUUGUGGCUGGACUCGCGGCCUAUCAGCUUGUUGGUGGGGUAGUGGCCUACCAAGGCGGCGACGGGUAGCCGGCCUGAGAGGGUGACCGGCCACAUUGGGACUGAGAUACGGCCCAGACUCCUACGGGAGGCAGCAGUGGGGAAGAUUGCACAAUGGGCGCAAGCCUGAUGCAGCAACGCCGCGUGCGGGAUGACGGCCUUCGGGUUGUAAACCGCUUUCAGCAGGGACGAAGCUUUUUGUGACGGUACCUGCAGAAGAAGCACCGGCUAACUACGUG
RNAcentral lists this ribosomal RNA (465 nucleotides) under uncultured bacterium. Its description in RNAcentral is "partial 16S ribosomal RNA". It matches the Rfam family "Bacterial small subunit ribosomal RNA", at positions 28 to 507 of the family's 1533-position model. The record is from RNAcentral.